Molecule: long non-coding RNA, 806 nt
Organism: Stomoxys calcitrans (stable fly)
Lineage: Eukaryota; Metazoa; Arthropoda; Insecta; Diptera; Muscidae
Exons: 2
Source: RefSeq, a predicted model, not a curated record
UCACCUGGUGGGAACCUACCACGCCAAGGACAUAAGGUCCUGAAUUGAUGUCCUUUUUUUUUUCAAAAUAAUUCUUCUGCUCAAUGAGCAAGAAUUAUUUAGUUUGUACUGGACAUAAGGGGUGUCUUGAUAUUUGGUCGGCUCAAAUCAGUAUGUACGAUAUUUUUUUUUAUUUAAUUUUUUUUUGUUAGAUUUUUGAUUUGUUUUAACGGUCUCAUGUGAAUUAAUUUCAUUGCAUUGGAAUGGAACGUCGAUUACUUAGUUAGUAAUCGCAUAAGACAUUGCACAGUAACUGCGUUAUCGGUGGCAAGAAGAACCACACCGGGUUUUUUUUCUCGACGAUGAAAGGCUUCCUAACCCUACUCAUGUUCUGGGAUCUUUCUUUCUUAUUCACACGUCGAAGUAAUAAAGUCACUACCUUCAAUAAAAAGAAAAAAAAAAAAAAAAAAAGGAUACAUUGUGUAAGGUAUACUUCGUUGAAGUCGAACAUAUUAUAUAUACAUUUAUAUAAACGUGAACUGACUAAAGAAGUGAUUGUAUUUGGUUUAGAGGAAUUAUCUUGUUCCACGUGAUUAGUGUCCCAGUUAAAUAUUUCCUUAGGACUGGGAACCUAAUUUGAAUCCCCUCCAAUUUUCUGGAGAAAAUUUUAAGUUGGUCCUUAUUAAGAAUAUUUGGAGCACGUGACUACCCAUGGUAUUUGGUUUAGCUGAGGUUCCAUGAUUUUUGGGACUCAAAACAUCUUUCCAUACCGAUUGUUUUACGGCAAACAUUUUUUAUUGUUUGCUGGGAUUUUUUUUUUUUUUUUU